RNAcentral lists this non-coding RNA (21 nucleotides) under Caenorhabditis elegans. The record is from RNAcentral. Lineage: Eukaryota; Metazoa; Nematoda; Chromadorea; Rhabditida; Rhabditidae.
UAAACUUGAAUGUGGAGUAGC